Molecule: long non-coding RNA, 1515 nt
Filed under: Betta splendens (Siamese fighting fish)
Lineage: Eukaryota; Metazoa; Chordata; Actinopteri; Anabantiformes; Osphronemidae
Description: lncRNA (ENSBSLG00000001837.1)
Source: RNAcentral
AUAAGCGGGAAGGACGAAAAAACAAAGGGGAAAGUGCGUACGUGUGAUGGGAGACGGGCACCAGACGAGGAGGGGGAGGGAGGGAGAGUCUGGAGGAGAGCGGGGGAGGAGGGGGGGGGGGGCAGGCGUGUCGUCGAGCUCCGGGGGAUUUGCUAUUUAAAGUGCGGGCUCCGUGCGCCGCUCGAACCUUUCCACGGCGUCUGGGACGCACCGGGACGCGCGCGGUGCCAGGAAGCCAGCACUCACCUCCACGGAACCGCGUGUGGACGGCGGACGCACCGCGGCGGAGCAGGCGACGCGAGGAUAUCCGCGUUGCAGCGGGACGUUUGGCGAGAAUAUUCGCCUUCCAGCCGCCUUCCGCCUUCACGUUUUCAGACGUCCGUCAUGGGUGUGAAGAUGCUGCAGUGUUUCCCUUUCUACAGACGCAGCAAAGAGCGCUGCAAGAGCAGGCAGUGCCCCCCGGAGGCAGUUCCCACAGAGGAGACGAAGCCACGCCUGUCCUCCACCACGUCCUGGGGCAGCGACAGCGACGGCGCAGGCAGCCGCGGCUCCCAGGUCUACUUCUCCACCAAGGCCAGGCUGUCCUUCAGACAUCAGCUGGACAGCAACAUCAACGCGGUGGACGCCACGUACUGAGGAGGACAGGGCUGCGGUAGAAACCAUUUCUGACCUGUGCUGAAGACGCCAAGGCCCGACAGACGAGCUAGCGCAUCAGGUGUCACCUUCAGAUGUGAUGGACAGACACAGUUUGCAUUUUAACCACUCUUGUGCUUGUGAUAAGGACUAAAGAGGGUGGAGCCACUGCCCUUACGGAUGUUACAGAGGUGAAGAGACUUGUUUACAGAGUUGCCUACCAACAAGUGCAUUACUUUUUCUACUUUUUUUCUUUUUUUAUUCUUUUUGUUUGAUCUUUGAGGAGAAAAUGCCGUUUCUAUUCUGAGGGCCAGAGUUAAAUAGAGGAGCUUCACUAAGCCACAUGAGGGAGAGGCAGAGGUAUUAGUGUUUGGAUUUCUAAAUCUAACAUUGAUGACAAUAUUACUUUUUUUAUUCCUCUUCUGCGACACAAAGCCUGCACACUAACAGUGAAGCAACGAAACAGAAAGAAAAUUCUAUUUCUUGAACAGCCGAGGGUUAUGUUGACACCACGUAUGAUCUGAGCCGGGCUGAGGAGGUCUGACAGCUGUAGGAGCAUUAUGCUUUGGUGAAUCAUGCUUGGCUUCCGCUCCUUGUUGCUAUGCUUUUCUUUACUAUUUUUGGAAUAACUGUUGUGAUUUUAACGAAGCCUAACGACAGGGGUGCGGGAUGAACAGGGUUCUUUAUUCGUCUGCCAUGAACAGACAUGAUUUUAAGUGGUGUUCCAAAAUUACUGUGAAAACUUGUCAAAUUUCAAUGUUAAAAAAACAAUUAUCAGAAACUGAAAUUGACAAUAUGUCAAUAUAUGUCACAAACUGACAUAUAACACCAAAACAAAAGUAACUUAAUUCUUUACUAAUAAAAUAAUAAUAAUAAUGUGCA